Molecule: ribosomal RNA, 129 nt
Filed under: Rhinonyssus echinipes
Lineage: Eukaryota; Metazoa; Arthropoda; Arachnida; Mesostigmata; Rhinonyssidae
Description: 5.8S ribosomal RNA
Source: RNAcentral
UCAAUAUGGGGGAUCACUUAGUCCUUAAAGCGAUGAAAAACAUAGUAAUUUGUGGAAAUUGAUGUGAGUUAUGAAAUCUGUGAGCAUUGUGUUUUUGAAUGAAGAUAUCAGUAUAGAUAUUAUUCUGUG